GCCGCACCACCAGCCGGACCCGGAACUUGCGCGCCGCCGGCGGGCGCGGCCACCGCAUCAUCCUCGCAACCAUCCAACCCGAACCGAACUACCCACCAAAGUUUCGAGUUUUGACCCCCCGACCCCUCAAAUCAAUCCCCAACGCAGAAAAAACCAAACCCAACCAAAAUGUCGAGCAAAAAUCCACCUUUUCCCUCUCCAAACCCCCUCCCCCUCGCAGAGCACGGCGAUUCCGGACCCAAAUUGGACCUCGCAAACCCCUUUCCUCCAAGAACAAGCCUCAAAAACCCCCUCUCUCAGAACGAACACGCGGUCGCAGAGACCCCGAAUCGCUCAAGCAAAGAAACAACAGAAAAAAAGCCUCCAAUUCGUGCGUAGCGCUACGCAGAAAGAUGAGAUUUUGAGGGUGGGCAGAGCUUGGAUUUUGACUCGGCGAGAGGGUUCGAGGGUUGGUUGGUGGUGGAGGUGGUGGUGGUACAC
This 480-nucleotide long non-coding RNA is filed under the name Oryza brachyantha (malo sina). Its description in RNAcentral is "long non-coding RNA (OBRA_LNC000874)". Lineage: Eukaryota; Viridiplantae; Streptophyta; Magnoliopsida; Poales; Poaceae. The record is from RNAcentral.